This 226-nucleotide signal recognition particle RNA is filed under the name pig gut metagenome. RNAcentral's name for it is "Bacterial large signal recognition particle RNA". It matches the Rfam family "Bacterial large signal recognition particle RNA", at positions 4 to 224 of the family's 256-position model. Rfam says of the family: The signal recognition particle (SRP) is a universally conserved ribonucleoprotein involved in the co-translational targeting of proteins to membranes. Archaeal SRP consists of a 7S RNA and homologues of the eukaryotic SRP19 and SRP54 proteins. In most bacteria, the SRP consists of a 4.5S RNA and the Ffh protein (a homologue of the eukaryotic SRP54 protein). The record is from RNAcentral.
UACUAACCGGGGAGGUAGCGGCGCCCUGUACCUGAAAUCCGCUGUAGCAGGGGUUAAUUCCUCAUUUGAGGGUAAUAUUUUUACGACAGAGCCGUUUGUCAGAGCGUUGACGGGUGGGUCCCGCGCAAUCGGGCACCGUGAACCAUGUCAGGCGGGGGACCGAGCAGCAUUAAGCGGAUCUCCCGGUGUGCCGCGGGGAUGCCUGCCCCGAGCCGAGAGAACGGUA